RNAcentral lists this long non-coding RNA (2222 nucleotides) under Homo sapiens (human). RNAcentral's name for it is "HSALNT0373016". The record is from RNAcentral. Lineage: Eukaryota; Metazoa; Chordata; Mammalia; Primates; Hominidae.
GUACAUUUCCAAACUGGCUGGCAGAGCCAGGAGGAAGUGAAGGCAUUAGAAACACUAACUUUGGUUGGUUGCUACCGUCUUAGUGCUGAGACUAUAACCUUUGUUGGUUGAUUGAUAGAGAACAAGAGAACACAAUCCUCGUUCCACUAACAGUGCUUCUCUCCUACCAGAGGUGCAAGGAGUGAUCCUAGAACCACAGAUACAGCCAAGACCACGGAGAGCUUUUGACGUCAGGGGUCCACUUUCUCCACUGAACCCUUGGAGACAGAAUAUCCAGCUUCUGGAGAGAGUGGGAAAGGAUAAUAAACAAAUUUCUUUCAACUGGUAAAACAUCAUACUUCUUCAGCAAAAGGAAUUCUUCUAGCAGAGCCUUCAUGGAUGAUAUCUGUCACACAUGCCAGCACCUGCAGUUUGGAAGGCAGUGGUGAAUGGAUCCAUGCAAUAUGUCUAGAAGACACAAGGAUGAGCCAGCCACCUGAUCUUGUCAUUUAUAAACUUUUAAGAAUUACUCUGGUUUACUUUUGGUCUGAAAAUGGAAAGGCCCAAAUAAUGAAAUAAUCUUUUCAGAUUGGAAUUUUACAUGGCCAUGAAAAUAUUUCUUUCUAUUCAGAAGACUGAAAUAGAGGAAGCUUGAGAGACUCCUUUCUUUUAAAAGCGGCUCUCUGUAUCUGUUUCAUUUAAAACAUUUGUGGGAUUGAAAAUCACCUUAAUGAAGUAGGCAAACAUUUUUUUAAGUAGUAGAGGAAGUCCAGAAAACUUAAUGAAAUGGUUUUUUUUGUUGCCUGACACUGAAAGUAACUAGUAAAUAAAGGGUGAACUUCUUAAUUAUUCGAAAACUGCUUUUAAUAUUAGGAUAUACUCUUUUAGCUCAUCUUCGCUGGUCUUGAGGCUUAUUAUAAUUGUCAAAUCAACAAAGUUUCUAAUAGAGAAGUAGAAGAAAUAUCUUUUGAGAUGUAAGUAGCUUGGUCUGUCUUCUAAAGUAAUACAUACCUGUUAAACUUGAGGUAUUUUUUUCAUACUGAAGGCAUUCUAAAGUUUGGUACUGUCACAAAACAGUAGUUUACAGAGCAGAAGCACUUAGUAUUAGAAUAAGCCUGUAGGUGUGAAGGAAUAAGUGUUGCAAAAUAGUUAUUUAUCCAAGCUGUCAAUUAAUUGAUUGAAGUAGUUAUCAAAAUGUUUCUGUUUCUUUCUUUGGUAUCUAUUAACUGGUCAGUCAAAAGCUAUUAAAGAAUGUUUUUAAAGUCACCUAAUGCUGCCAGUUUGUUAAAUUUGGUAUACAUUUUAAGAAUAGACAUUCUAGAGUUAUUAAUAUGGAAGCAGCUAAAAUGUUUUAGGAAAUCUCAAAAGUUUUAGAAGCCACAUUUGCUAAAGCAUAACCUGCACUUAGUCUUUCUUGGCUAUCUGUAUUUUUUUCUCAUUAAUUAUAAAUAAAUUUUUGUUAAGUAUAGUAUUUAAAAGUAAGUUUAAAGGUUCAAUUUGAACUGAAAUUUCCCCAGAGAGCUUUGAAUUCCCAUAAGUGAUUACAGCUUUUACUCCCGACUUGUUUUUAGUAAAUGUUAAUAAGACAAUUGGUUUACAAACACAUAUAAAUUAAAAAAAACAACUGUCCAUCGUUUUAGGAAGAACUGAAGGAACUAAAAAUGAUAUUUGCUUGGAAAUUAAGUUAGUUGAACUCUUUGAACCACAGUAGAAACCGCUUUGUGUGGCCUGUGAGAUUAUAAGCUUUUUGUUUCAGCUUUGAAGAUGAAAAGUGAUUUAAUCUCUUAAUCUCAUGCUUUGAUUGAAUUUUAGCUCUGUUCCUUAAAAUAUGCAAAAGGAAAUGUAAGUGCAUUUCUAGUCACCUCAUGCCACUACAAGCUAUUUAUUUAAAAGUGAAACUUUUUGUAUAUUAUUGUGAACUGAUUUGUUUAUUUAAACUUUUAUUUUGGUGAAUUUACCUUUGAGUUUUUUUAUAUUUUAUGUCACAAAAUGAAGUCCUAUAUUUUUCAGUGUUUAUGAAUAUUAAUAUAAACUAUUUUUUUCUAGAAUGACUAAUUGUGUAAUAUCUGUAUUAUGUGAUAAUUUGAAAUCUAAUAAAUAUUUUCUCCAUGAAAAAAAUGCACUUACUGAUAAUGGCUUAUUUCUGUUUCAGGAGUAGAAAGUGAAAACUGCAACAGUAUUUUUAAAUGUAUUUUAAUUUUCUGUGUCUUUCUCUAAAUAUUUCUGAAUAUGUAUUCUUUCUG